RNAcentral lists this ribosomal RNA (727 nucleotides) under uncultured fungus. RNAcentral's name for it is "eukaryotic LSU rRNA". The stretch from base 94 to 727 matches the Rfam family "Eukaryotic large subunit ribosomal RNA", at positions 1 to 649 of the family's 3401-position model. Lineage: Eukaryota; Fungi. The record is from RNAcentral.
AAAUCAGUGGCGGUGCUCUCGGCUCUAAGCGUAGUAAUUNUCUCGCUAUAGUCCCCGGGAGAACACUUGCCAUAACCCCCACACUUUUAAGGUUGACCUCGGAUCAGGUAGGGAUACCCGCUGAACUUAAGCAUAUCAAUAAGCGGAGGAAAAGAAACCAACAGGGAUUACCUCAGUAACGGCGAGUGAAGCGGUAACAGCUCAAAUUUGAAAUCUGGGUCUUUUAGGCUCCGAGUUGUAAUUUGUAGAAGAUGCUUCGGGUGUGGCCCCGGUCUAAGUUCCUUGGAACAGGACGUCAUAGAGGGUGAGAAUCCCGUAUGUGACUGGGUGCUUUCGCUCAUGUGAAGCUCUUUCGACGAGUCGAGUUGUUUGGGAAUGCAGCUCAAAAUGGGUGGUAUAUUUCAUCUAAAGCUAAAUAUUGGCCAGAGACCGAUAGCGCACAAGUAGAGUGAUCGAAAGAUGAAAAGCACUUUGGAAAGAGAGUUAAACAGUACGUGAAAUUGUUGAAAGGGAAGCGCUUGCAAUCAGACUUGCACGCCGUUAAUCAUCCAGGGUUCUCUCUGGUGCACUUAGCGGCGUUCAGGCCAGCAUCGGUUUUAGGGGUGGGAUAAAGGCCUUGGGAAUGUAGCUUCUUUCGGGAAGUGUUAUAGCCCUCGGUGCAAUGCCGCCUCCUGGGACCGAGGACCGCGCUUCGGCUAGGAUGUUGGCGUAAUGGUUGUAAGCGACC